UGGGGUAUAGCUCAUGGGUAGAGCAUUUGCAUGCCAUAUGUGAGGCCCUGGGUUCAAUCCCCAGUAUCACAU
RNAcentral lists this transfer RNA (72 nucleotides) under Ictidomys tridecemlineatus (thirteen-lined ground squirrel). RNAcentral's name for it is "Spermophilus tridecemlineatus (thirteen-lined ground squirrel) tRNA". It matches the Rfam family "tRNA". Rfam says of the family: Transfer RNA (tRNA) molecules are approximately 80 nucleotides in length. Their secondary structure includes four short double-helical elements and three loops (D, anti-codon, and T loops). Further hydrogen bonds mediate the characteristic L-shaped molecular structure. tRNAs have two regions of fundamental functional importance: the anti-codon, which is responsible for specific mRNA codon recognition, and the 3' end, to which the tRNAs corresponding amino acid is attached (by aminoacyl-tRNA synthetases). tRNAs cope with the degeneracy of the genetic code in two manners: having more than one tRNA (with a specific anti-codon) for a particular amino acid; and 'wobble' base-pairing, i.e. permitting non-standard base-pairing at the 3rd anti-codon position. Lineage: Eukaryota; Metazoa; Chordata; Mammalia; Rodentia; Sciuridae. The record is from Rfam by way of RNAcentral.